CAGAGGUCUCAAGCGUUAUUCGGAUUCAUUGGGCGUAAAGGGUGCGUAGGUGGCGAUGUAAGUCUGGUGUGAAAUCUCGGAGCUUAACUCCGAAACUGCAUUGGAUACUGCGUCGCUCGUGGAUUGUAGAGGAGAGUGGAAUUCACGGUGUAGCAGUGAAAUGCGUAGAUAUCGUGAGGAAGACCAGUUGCGAAGGCGACUCUCUGGGCAAUUCCUGACACUGAGGCACGAAGGCCAGGGGAGCAAACGGGAUUAGAUACCCCGGUAGUCCUGGCAGUAAACGGUGCACGUUUGGUGUGGGCAGGUCCAGACCCUGUCCGUGCCGGAGCUAACGCGUUAAACGUGCCGCCUGGGAAGUACGGUCGCAAGAUUA
This 373-nucleotide ribosomal RNA is filed under the name uncultured organism. RNAcentral describes it as "bacterial SSU rRNA". It matches the Rfam family "Bacterial small subunit ribosomal RNA", at positions 526 to 896 of the family's 1533-position model. The record is from RNAcentral.